GGAUAUGAGGGGAAUGGCACUGUGGUAUCUGUUACCCCACUGACUGUCAGGGUUAAUUUGGCUGGCCAGGCAGGUGUCCCCGUCUUCCCUCACUGCUCCAUGUUUUUCUCUCUUAAAGUCGAGCACUCAGUCAAAGAGGACUGUUCUUGGGCCAAGGGUAUAUGAGGAGCUGUGCUCCCUGACAGAACAUCCAAACAAACUAGUCUGCAUUUCAAAAGCCUGAAUGACUGUCCUGAUUCUGAAAAGUCAAGCCCAUCCCUCUAUGAAAUACAAUAUAAUUGUUCCUUACCUUUAAUUAUU
RNAcentral lists this small nuclear RNA (300 nucleotides) under Peromyscus maniculatus bairdii (prairie deer mouse). Its description in RNAcentral is "7SK RNA (ENSPEMG00000003225.2)". It matches the Rfam family "7SK RNA". From Rfam's summary of the family: 7SK was discovered as an abundant small nuclear RNA in the mid-70s but a possible function has only recently been suggested. Two independent studies have found that 7SK RNA binds the CDK9/cyclin T complex (known as elongation factor P-TEFb). The record is from RNAcentral. Lineage: Eukaryota; Metazoa; Chordata; Mammalia; Rodentia; Cricetidae.